GUGAGUCAUCGAAUCUUUGAACGCACCUUGCGCCCCUUGGUAUUCCGAGGGGCACACCCGUUUGAGUGUCGUGAAAACCUCAACCUCCUUGGUUUCUUCUGGAGACCAAAGCAGGCUUGGACUUUGGAGGCCCUUUGCUGGCACCUCUCUUUUGAAGGCCAGCUCCUCUUAAAUGAAUUAGCAGGGUCCUCUUUGCUGAUCCUCGACGUGUGAUAAGAUGUUUCCAUGUCUUGGUUUCUGGCUCUGUCACCUUUGGGACCCGCUUCUAACCGUCUUGACCUUGCAUCGAGACAACGUUCGAGCAUGUCUCCCUUUCUCGGGAAGCUCCCUCGACCCCACGAACCCCUUGACCUCAAAUCGGGUGAGACUACCCGCUGAACUUAA
Molecule: ribosomal RNA, 384 nt
Filed under: Lactarius omphaliiformis
Lineage: Eukaryota; Fungi; Basidiomycota; Agaricomycetes; Russulales; Russulaceae
Description: eukaryotic LSU rRNA
Rfam family: 5.8S ribosomal RNA (bases 1-71)
Source: RNAcentral